Molecule: ribosomal RNA, 31 nt
Filed under: Stevia glandulosa
Lineage: Eukaryota; Viridiplantae; Streptophyta; Magnoliopsida; Asterales; Asteraceae
Description: partial 18S rRNA
Source: RNAcentral
UUCCGUAGGUGAACCUGCGGAAUGGACAUUG